ACAGCGGUAUCGUAAUGCCUGGUGACUUUGGUUGUCCGUAGGACAACCUAGCUACUCCUGAAAUGGAACGGGACAGACUGAAAUCGAAGCCCAGGGUGAGCCGCUCC
RNAcentral lists this non-coding RNA (107 nucleotides) under unclassified sequences. RNAcentral's name for it is "DUF3800-III RNA". It matches the Rfam family "DUF3800-III RNA". The record is from Rfam by way of RNAcentral.